This 775-nucleotide ribosomal RNA is filed under the name uncultured Neocallimastigales. RNAcentral's name for it is "partial large subunit ribosomal RNA". It matches the Rfam family "Eukaryotic large subunit ribosomal RNA", at positions 24 to 649 of the family's 3401-position model. The record is from RNAcentral. Lineage: Eukaryota; Fungi; Neocallimastigomycota; Neocallimastigomycetes; Neocallimastigales.
UUACGACUACAUAUCAGGCAUAUCAAUAAGCGGAGGAAAAGAAACUAACAAGGAUUCCCUUAGUAACGGCGAGUGAAGCGGGAAGAGCUCAAAUUUGAAAUCUUCAAGGUUCUACCUUGACGAAUUGUAGUUUAAAGAAGUGUUUUCUGUUAGAUGAGUAGCAAAAGUUCCUUGGAAUGGGACAUCAUAGAGGGUGAGAAUCCCGUAUUUGGUUAUUCAUUCUAGCUUUGUGAUACACUUUCAAAGAGUCGGAUUGUUUGGGAAUGCAGUCCAAAAUGGGUGGUAAAUUUCAUCUAAAGCUAAAUAUUGGCGAAAGACCGAUAGCGAACAAGUACCGUGAGGGAAAGAUGAAAAGAACUUUGAAAAGAGAGUUAAACAGUACGUGAAAUUGUCAAAAGGGAAGCGUUUGACACCAGUGUUGUUUUUCCGAAAAUCAAUUACGAAUGGCUUGAUUUUGUGUUGUAUUGACCUUAUCAGCUUUCUUCACUUUUUUCGAGUCUUUCUUAAUGCACUUUUCGGUUAACAAGUCAACAUCAAUUUCUUUUGUUGUAAAAGAGUAUUCGGAAGGUGGCUUUCUUUUCGGAGAAAGUGUUUAUAGCCCUAUACUUCUACAAUCGGAGAGAUUGAGGUCUGCAGCGUAGAUCCUUCGGGGUUAGAUACACUUGUGCUAAGUUGUAGCUUUUCAUAGACAACUUGUUGACUAUGUUUAGUCAUGCGGCUUACUCGCUUGUGCUAUUUUACCUACGCUUAGGAUGUUGAGUAGCGACAUACGCAC